This 780-nucleotide ribosomal RNA is filed under the name Triticum aestivum (bread wheat). RNAcentral's name for it is "partial small subunit ribosomal RNA". The record is from RNAcentral. Lineage: Eukaryota; Viridiplantae; Streptophyta; Magnoliopsida; Poales; Poaceae.
AUGGCGACCGCCGCUUCGUCGAGCAGGGUGGCCGCGGUGGCGGAGCACGACGACAAGAACGAGCCGGCGAGGCCCCUGGCCAUCCCUCACCCGUACGCCCACCCGGCCGCCAGCGACGUGGACGAGGCGGCGCAGACGGCGACGGGGUGGCGCUCCGUGCAGUACCUCCGGAAGAGGCGCCGCUGCCUGCUCUGCUGCGGCGGCUGCUGCGUGGCCACCGCGGUCAUCGUCGGCAUCCUCAUCCUUGCGCUCUCGCUCACCGUGUUCAAGGUCAAGGACCCGCGCCUCACCAUGAACGGCGUCUCCCUCGCCGCCCUCAGGUCCGGCCCCGGCACGGGGCUCGCCGACCCCGUCGCCACCAACGCCACGCUCACCGCCGACGUCUCGAUCGAGAACGACAACAUCGCGUCGUUCCGGUUCUCCCCGAGCGCCACGGAGGUGUACCUCGACGGGCGGACGGUGAGCGUCGCGUACGUGCCCGGCGGCCGCGUCGGCGCCCACGGGAGCGUGCGCAUGAACGUGACGGUGGACAUCCUCGCCGACCGGCUGUCGCAGGCGGUCAACGCCACCGGCCUGCUGCUCGGCCAGCAGUACAACCUGACGACGUACACGGAGAUGGACGGCACGGUGAAGGUGCUGGGGAUCUACAAGAAGGAUCUCGAGAUCAGGAUGAACUGCUCCAUCACCGUGGAGGUAGGGGGCUUCGCCGGCGUGCUCGUGUCCGGGGCCCCGGCCGGCGUGCACACCAACGGCGUGAACUGCGUCGCACAUGUGAGCUGA